This is a long non-coding RNA of Scylla paramamosain (green mud crab), 1768 nucleotides long. RefSeq lists it as uncharacterized. The transcript has 6 exons. The record is from RefSeq and is a predicted model, not a curated record. NCBI's taxonomy places the organism in Eukaryota, Metazoa, Arthropoda, Malacostraca, Decapoda, Portunidae.
AGCCGCCCUGUGACUCUUGUUUAGCCUGGAGAAGAAGGGAAGGCAAUGUUAGGAAGGGAAGUAAGGCUCACAGAUGGUUAGUAGUGUGAUACGUGACAAAAAUGGAGGAUAGAUUUAUGAAAUACAUGUGAUUAUGGUAUAUAGAAAUAUACAUGUGAUAUAUGUAUAUAGAUCUUUUGCUCCCAUAUCUCUCUCUCUCUCUCUCUCUCUCUCUCUCUCUCCUCACCAUUUAUCAAAAAAAAAAAUAUAUACUUAUAUUACUGUCCGAGGUGGGGAAAAAUUAAUUUUCAUCAAAAGCCCAAAUACAGCGCCACCUACAAUGCAGGCACUCUCCCGAACUAGGAGUCUCCCCAGCAUCCUUUUCUUUAACGGGACAGUCAAGUUAGUGUUCAGCGGGUUGGGCUGUGUGUGGUGUUGUGCUGUGUCGAACAUGAUAUUUAUUGAUUUGCUUUAAUUUUUGAAAGUUUUCGGUGCACAUUGGUGGUUCAGGAAGGAGGUGAAUGUUUCCUGGAUGUUAAGUGGCCCUGGCAGCCAGGAUGUAAGUGAAGGAAGGGCGCUUUUAAGUAAUGUAAUGAUUGGCGGAACCCGCGUGAGGGAUAGGCCGGAGCCAAUCUAAGGCAAGGCGCACAUUGAGACGCAGGGCAGCACAGAGCAGGGCAGACGCAGGGCAGGGCAGGGCAGGUCAGCACAGCGCAGCACAGGCGUGGUGCGCACAUUGAGAAGCAGGCUGUCGUCCUGUGCGGAAGUGUUGAUGAUGGCUGUUGCCAGAAAUUACUUUGGAAACCUUAGUUCCGAUUCCGACUCAGAAAACGAGUUCGAGAAAGUAAUGUUAUUAUAUGACAUUUGUAGAGCAAAGAGGUCAGUGUGGAGGAGUGAAUACAUAGAGAAGAGGAAAACACAUGGAGAAUUUGCCCAUAACUCGUUCUUAUAAGUUCCUCUCAUUAUAAUCAGGAUGACUAGUGUCAUACAGCACUCUUUGAUGACGAACAGCCUCUAUGAGUUGCUCCGUGGACGACAUUGUGAGUACUAAAGAGUGAGUUGCUAUCAAGCUGCGCCGCACGUGGCACAGGAAACUGCGUUCGAACGACUGCGUCGCGCAGGCCGACACAGGGACGCUAUUCUGCUGCUGAAUGAAGAAGGCUUGGUUGGAGGGCGAGGGCGAGGGAAGGCAGAGAAAGACCCUGAAACCAUGCUUUUGUCUGGCAGCCGCUUAGCACUUCUACACGCUCCGAGCUGCUUGGUGAGGCGCACGCAGAAGACAAAUGCAGACACGGAGAUCAAGCGAAGCCAGAUUAGCUCAAGGUGAUAUUCAAGAAUCCCCCAGUGACUAGUGAAGCUUCGGUUUGUAAUCACCACCACCACCACUACCGCUGCCGCCGCCUCCGCCGCCUCCUCCUCCUCCUCCUCCUUCAUCGCGAGCCUCCAAAAGUCUCAAGGCAACACCUGACACCCUCGCCUACACUUUUCCGACGACGUAACUGAAGAAGGCCUGUGCUGCUCCUACUUAGUGUUAUGGCGUGGAGGAAGAGAAGGGGCUGUACUCACCUGUACCAGCAGAUGCCAGCCCCGACCACGGCACACACCGCCAUGGCUGUGCUGCCCGCCAACACCGCUGCAGGGAAGAGAGAGUCAAGCUGAGGGCGCUGUCACCAAGGACGUCACCGGGGACUGUGGUGCAGCAGCUCGCCCGUCACCCUCAGGCGCCAAUAUGAACGGGACAAUACCUCGCGUCUGAUGUGUAAAUGGAGGUGCCAAUGGAACUCACCUG